This 443-nucleotide ribosomal RNA is filed under the name uncultured bacterium. Its description in RNAcentral is "partial 16S ribosomal RNA". It matches the Rfam family "Bacterial small subunit ribosomal RNA", at positions 338 to 795 of the family's 1533-position model. The record is from RNAcentral.
CCUACGGGAGGCAGCAGUGGGGGAUAUUGGACAAUGGGGGAAACCCUGAUCCAGCGACGCCGCGUGAGUGAAGAAGUAUUUCGGUAUGUAACGCUCUAUCAGCAGGGAAGAAAGAAAUGACGGUACCUGAGUAAGAAGCCCCGGCUAACUACGUGCCAGCAGCCGCGGUAAUCCGUAGGGGGCAAGCGUUAUCCGGAAUUACUGGGUGUACAGGGAGCGUAGACGGUACUGCAAGUCUGGAGUGAAAGGCGGGGGCCCACCCCCCGGACUGCUCUGGAAACUGUGUAACUGGAGUGCAGGAGAGGCAGGCGGAAUUCCUAGUGUAGCGGUGGAAUGCGUAGAUAUUAGGAGGAACACCAGUGGCGAAGGCGGCCUGCUGGACUGUAACUGACGUUGAGGCUCGAAAGCGUGGGGAGCAAACAGGAUUAGAUACCCUAGUAGUC